GGAAGUGCGCAGGGCACUGGUGGCCCUCCUGGACUUCAAAUCCAGUGGUACCGGUUAAAACCCGGUACGGUGGGUUCGAUUCCCAUGCACUUCCGCCA
RNAcentral lists this transfer RNA (98 nucleotides) under bacterium. RNAcentral describes it as "tRNA-Sec". It matches the Rfam family "Selenocysteine transfer RNA". The record is from RNAcentral.